This 465-nucleotide ribosomal RNA is filed under the name uncultured bacterium. RNAcentral describes it as "partial 16S ribosomal RNA". It matches the Rfam family "Bacterial small subunit ribosomal RNA", at positions 28 to 506 of the family's 1533-position model. The record is from RNAcentral.
GAUGAACGCUGGCGGCGUGCUUAACACAUGCAAGUCGAACGAUGAAGCCCAGCUUGCUGGGUGGAUUAGUGGCGAACGGGUGAGUAACACGUGAGUAACCUGCCCUUAACUCUGGGAUAAGCCUGGGAAACUAGGUCUAAUACCGGAUAGGAGCGCCUACCGCAUGGUGGGUGUUGGAAAGAUUUAUCGGUUUUGGAUGGACUCGCGGCCUAUCAGCUUGUUGGUGAGGUAAUGGCUCACCAAGGCGACGACGGGUAGCCGGCCUGAGAGGGUGACCGGCCACACUGGGACUGAGACACGGCCCAGACUCCUACGGGAGGCAGCAGUGGGGAAUAUUGCACAAUGGGCGCAAGCCUGAUGCAGCGACGCCGCGUGAGGGAUGACGGCCUUCGGGUUGUAAACCUCUUUCAGUAGGGAAGAAGCGAAAGUGACGGUACCUGCAGAAGAAGCACCGGCUAACUACGU